CUCCCCAUGGGGCCCGGUCCCCUGAACACUUCAUCAUCCGCCUCCAGCAGACGUGCCACACUGUAGCCACUCUACAGGAACGCUACCAUUCACUUUUUUCUGAUUUAAGAAACUGUGUAUAUAUAUAAUUACCCAGUUUCAUGCAUGGCUUUUGUUGAGCAAUAUCAUUUACUUUGUUGAUUUUUUUUUUUAUGUGUGCAAACAUCUGCAACAAAUGGGUGGUCGUCCUGAGGACAUCUUUGCCAUGCAGGUUAAAUUUCUGUUCAUCUCAGACAGUGCGCGUAUUGAGAGCCGAGUCUUCUGAACGGGUCUGUGAGAAACUGUCCAAUAUAUUGGAAGAGAAGUAGUGUCCGCAGUGAGGCUGGCGUCGCGUGCCUGAUCUGUGGCUCCUCUAACCUUAUUACUCUGCCCUUCGCCGUAGCCAUUUCAACCCUGAAACUUUUAGUUGAAUUGCUAUCGAUUCUGGAGCGGCUAGGCUUUCACGCCGGCUGGGGGCUGGGGGGUGUUAUCUGAUUCUCAGUAAUGCCUGAAGGACAGUGGUCUAUUUUUGGCUGAGCGAUCACGUGAGCCCCCCUCCCCAUCCCAUCCCAGCUAGGGCACUUCUAAUUAUGACCCCUAUUUCCCGGCAGCGGUGGAGCUGUGUAGUGACAUGGCAGAAGCGGGCACUGUUGAUGAUGGCAUCUACUCUUAAGCUCCGGGGAGCUUCUCUCCAUUUCGCUAAUGUUCGCUCUCUGUCCUUGAGGACCUGGAAGGAGAAAGAGAGGUGACGGUAAUGAUGGCAUUUUGACUUUUACAGGCUCUGUCUUAUGGGGGAUCGAGCCAAUGCAAACACACACACACACACACACAAUCUUCAAAGCAUUCUUUUCUCCUGACGCCACAUUGACACUUGAUGAAGACCCAUGGUCCUCCUGUCUCUUCAGUAGAACAGCACCGACAGUCAUAGUUUAUCUCCAUUGUAAAUGGCCAGAAUUGUUGAAAAAGUCAGAAGCUUAUUAUCAGGGAUUAUGCUGUGGAGCAAAAAGAAUGGUCUUGAAUGCUUUGUUGUAGGAUUCCCUUUUGAGGUGUUGCUGUAAGAUGAACAUCUGACAAUGAAUGUAAUCCCACAUUGUGCAUUUUCAGGUCUGUGUUUUAAAUGCAGCUUUAUCCUGUAUUUCAAAGAUUUAUAGCAACUGUCAGUCACUCUUAUAAAGCAGUUCCUAUAGGCUUUAGGGGACAAAAGGGAACAUUCCUUAUAAGGAUAUUGGCUUUUUACAAAAAAAAAAAUUAUUAUUCAAGAAAGUUAACUAUUUCAAGGUGAAGGUUUGAAGUUUGGUCUUUCUGUGACAGUUAUUAGGUCACACAGUGGAAGGAUACACUGGCGCAUUGGCACCAAAAAUGGGCAAGACCUGUUUGAUUGCACCCCGAUUACAGAGGUGUGCACAUGAUGGCUUUGAACACCUUUUUUUAUUUUAGUAAGGGCCAAGAUCAAGGGAUGAAAGGGUUCUCCCAAAAGACCAGACCAGAUCAGAGUCCACCAGCCGCACAUCAGAUUUUUCACUAAGCAUCAACAAAUGCUUUGAAUUAUUGCCCUUCGUUGCAGUGAACGAGUCCAGGCACCAAUCUGACCUCCGAGCUUGGCUCCCCAUGUCGGCUAAAACUCGCGGGAGUGUGUAAAUAAUUUAGGAGCCGGGCUCCUGGCCUGGGCUUUGUGUGUCUCCGCAGGCCUAGCCUGGCAUGCAGGAAGAGCAGACUAGAAUGCGGCAUUUCCUGUGGCAGCAGGCCUCUGGAGCCCCAGAAGCUGCCAGACUGGAAGCUUUAAUUAAAAUAAGAGCACAGUGGGGAAGCUGAGGAUGGAGUGAGGGGAAAAAGAACACCUCCAGCCAUUGGCAACACAUUUGGUUUUUUGGUUGUUUUUUUUUCAUCAGUUGUUCUGCAGAUGGGGUUCCUCUCCAUAAUUUGGUCCUUUUAUUUAUUUUAAUGGGGCUAUUUAUAAAGAUUCUGUGUGAGUUGUGUUGUAAGACGUGGACUCGAAGCUUCAUCAGUGCAGAGCCUCGACGAGCCCGCAGCAGGGAACAGAUAGUCAAAGAUGCCCUCAGAACGGCAGCCAGUCGGAUUCCGCUGGGGUACUCCUGGGGAGAGCCAUGCGGUUCUGGCACACCGAACAGACACUGGAGGUAAUUCCUCUGUGUCUUGUCAGCCUCCCCUCAUUCCCCUCAGCUCCAGUGAGCGCAAGACGGGGCUUUAUCGGUAGCACACUGCUGGAGGGAUUACUGCAUGAAAUCCUACCUUCCUCUCAUUAAAAAGACAAAGAUAAGAGGAUAUCCAGCUAAGGGAGAUGGGGCAAGGCUCCCCGAAAGAUUUUUACACCUCUGAUGGUCAAAUCGUUUGACUUUGAUGGGGUGGGCUGAGAAAUCUGAUUGGAUUAGAGAGAUGCAUCGAGGGCGUUUGGACUCAGGCCAUGUGCUAAUGAAAAUGAAAGGUAAUUAAAGGAUACAAAAUGUCAUCUGUGAGACAUGAUAGAAUGGUUCAUUUUUGUUCCUUAGAUGCUCCUUAACAAAGGGGAUUUGGACACUUAAUGGCAGCUUUUUGAGAAAGUUGAAUCCCCUGAGACUUCCUGGGCUGCAGGAUAGCGGCUGUCAGUCACUGAUUCUCAGCUAAGAAGUCACUACCUGUCAGUUAGAUUAAUAAUUAAUUUGGCAGAUACUGAAGCAUGCCCUCCAGGGUGGUUUAGUGGGCCAGGACAUCUGGCCUGAAACCUGAAACAGAAAAAGAGAAGCAAAGUGUUCCUUUAAUACUCCAAGUGGGCCUUAACUACAAGCCUUGGUCUUGUAUGGCUAAUGCAAUGAAAAGGGCUGAAUAACUGAACUUCACAGAGCCUUAUAUAGAAUAAUAUUGUUAAAUACAAUAACAGUGCUGUUGUUUGUUUAGGGAAAAAAAAAUUAGCUCUUCAGGAACAAUUUGUUUCCAUGCUGUUAUGCUCCACUAUGUAAAAGGCACACCUCUUCGCUUUUAAAAUGACAUUUAAAAAAAAAUUUACCUCAGCUCUAACACUUCUCCCUCCGACUCCGCACACAUUUUUAUUUAAGCCCCAUCUUUUUCCACAUUAGUCGUCCCACGUUUUUAAAUAAGGUGUGCUAAAACCCACACUACAAACAGUAGAAUUUGAACAACAGCUGUUCCACGCCACUCUGCUAAGCUGAUGGAAUUCUCUGAAAAGAGCCGGUUAUCAGGUGAUUGCAGGAUUUGCGCCCUUUGAUGCGCAGGUCCAGCCCCUGAGAAUACCAAUUGCUGAUUGCAGUGCGCACUGCACGACUUUGGGCAUAAGACUCGCAGCAUUCGCAUUUCCAGUAAACAGUAGGAGAAGGAACUUGUAUUUGACCUUCACUGAUCCCCUGCUGUCUGGUAAUCAAGUGAAGAUCCCUGCUAUGCAACAAAGCUAUUUGUCUUCGAGUGAUCAACCUGGUCCAUCACACUCAUGUUUCCAAACAAUUAAUUCCGUCACCCAUUGUAACAAGACAGGUAGCUGUAUGCAUCGGCGGGUUGUCUGCUGUCGCUGCACCACAGCGAGAAGCCGG
Molecule: non-coding RNA, 3557 nt
Organism: Electrophorus electricus (electric eel)
Lineage: Eukaryota; Metazoa; Chordata; Actinopteri; Gymnotiformes; Gymnotidae
Source: RefSeq, a predicted model, not a curated record